Molecule: small RNA, 28 nt
Filed under: Bombyx mori (domestic silkworm)
Lineage: Eukaryota; Metazoa; Arthropoda; Insecta; Lepidoptera; Bombycidae
Description: ovarian small RNA-17897
Source: RNAcentral
GUGCUUUUCGUGGGGUUGAUGUCAAUUC